Lagopus leucura (white-tailed ptarmigan) is the source of this 2103-nucleotide long non-coding RNA. RefSeq lists it as uncharacterized. Lineage: Eukaryota; Metazoa; Chordata; Aves; Galliformes; Phasianidae. The transcript has 5 exons. The record is from RefSeq and is a predicted model, not a curated record.
UUAAGUUGGUCAAGAGGAGUAAGCAGAACAUUCAGAUUAAUGGCACUGGUUACUUACCGGACCUGCACUUUCUGGUUUCUCAGCUGGUGUUUUAGCAGCAGUACCUUUGGAAGACUCUGUUCUCUUAUCUGGAGUUGAACCCAGAUAGUCUGGUGGUGGGAGGACAACACCAGCUUUUUCUGCAAGAUUGACUGAACUGAUACUUCUAACCGGCGCAGUGCUGCAAGACAGAACCCAGCAGGCAAUCAGUAUUGGGGUGUGAAGCACCAGAGGAGAUUCAGAAGUCAGGAGGAAUUUUUUCAUGGUGCCUGGGCCUCCCUGGACAAUCUGCACAGGUACUGGUGGAGCUGCUGUUUAUGGAGCUGAAGAGAUGUGUGGACGUGGCACAUGGUGUAGGGCUGGACUUGCCAUCAAGACCCAUCCCUCCAUGGUGUACAUUGGGGUUCUGGUAACCCUGUGCCUGGGGCAUCUCCAUUAUGAAGAAAGGAUGGCAGACCUGGGGCAGUUCAGCCUGGAGAAGAGAGGACUGAAGGAUGUACCUGGGGGAGGAGAUGGUGAAGAAAAACUGAUUGCUUAACAUCAGCUGAAUGGCUGCAUGCCUGCCCAGCCUCACCAGCAGUGAUGGCAUUGUGUUUGGGGGGUUGCAAUGACACGCACUGUUUGGAUGUGCUGUAUGAAAACCCAGAGCCAUCGCACACAGGUGGGCAUUGAGGGCAGCAGUACAGACACGUGCGCCCGUCUCAGGCUGCAGAAGGUCAUGCAGCACGAGGCACAGCGAGAACCUGAACAGCUGAUCUAUCAGUGAACACACGGAGCUCUGCGACAGACAGUGGGGCAACGUACGAACUGCAGAGAAGCUCAUGCUUAAGAAUGAAAGAUUGAAGGUUUGAUUUUCCUUCUUUCCUCCAGCAGACUCAUCAAAAGUUUAUAUGCAGAAUACUGAACAUCAAAAGGCACAGUACCAAUUCUAGAGGAAAAUCUUCUCAAUGUGAACAUUGAGCUUGAUUUAACCUUAUAAAUGACCUUGGGAAGUAGAACUAUGAAUAGCAGAAGUUUCCACUAACUCAGCUACUGUUUCCAUCUCUAGCAGUGUAGAAAGGCUGGCUGCUCUUCUCCUACCUUACUUAUGGCAGAUUGGAGGUCUGUGUAGCACCGAAACAAAGUUAUCACAAAAUUAGGAAAUACAGAACCUCACUCCUGAAGAAGUGAAAAGCACCUUGUAUUUCAUUUUCAAUCACUUUUUGUUAUAUAAGAAUUCAGUCCCUUUUUUCAAUCCCAUUUUAUUAUAAAUACAUUAUAACUGUACUUCAUUAAUGCUCCAUAGGAAAAGCUGGCCUGACCUACUAACUGCUUCAGCUGCAACCUCUAAGCUGGUUUCCCAGAAGUUUCCACAAGAUGAGGUGCUAAAAAGGUUCUGUAGCUGCUGGCACACUUCACUUGCUUUCUGUCCAACAGUCUCUUCUGAAAGUAGAACAUUUAUGCUAUCCAGGAGAUGGCAGUGAUGCAGUAAGGUGGGACAAGAUGACAGAUCUUUCUUUAGAUUAAAGCAGCCAGCGAAGGACAGGGUGCUAGGUGUCAUCUUUCGAAGGCAAGUGAAACAGGAUUCCAGCUGAAAGGGUCAAUUUAUCUGCUUAAAUAAGCCAACAACUCUUUUCUCUCCACUGCCCAUGAGUUUUCACCCACUUUUUAAUUUUUAUUUUAAGUACAACUAGCUUCAUUUAUCCUAAACUAUUACAUUUCCUGUUCUCCUGCUUGUCUUUGUCAAUAGUGAGAGCAACACUUAAGUGCCAUGUCACAGAAGUAGAAGGGAUAGCUGUUCCCAGCUUUAGAGAAGUACAGGCUCAGAUGUCCAUUUUGCUUAUUAAUAAGGAAGGAAAAAGUUCUGAGUGCCAAACACCAGCAAGACACUGCUUUUGAAAGAUGGUGUAACCUUAUGGUCAGCUUAGCAUUUUUUUCACCAAGAAUGUAUUUUCUUUUAACAGAAUAAAAAUGUUCUCAUUGCAUUCCAAAUAAUUUUGCAUGGGCACUUAAAGCUCACUGUUUCUUGUAUAGAAAAUCUCUACAGCUAGAAAGGAGAAACAGUAGAAAAGUCCACUGGGUUUA